Molecule: ribosomal RNA, 253 nt
Filed under: uncultured bacterium
Lineage: Bacteria
Description: partial 16S ribosomal RNA
Rfam family: Bacterial small subunit ribosomal RNA
Source: RNAcentral
GACGAACCGUGCGAACGUUGUUCGGAAUCACUGGGCGUAAAGGGCUCGUAGGUGGCCAACUCAGUCAGACGUGAAAUCCCUCGGCUUAACCGGGGAACUGCGUCUGAUACUGGAUGGCUUGAGGUUGGGAGAGGGAUGCGGAAUUCCAGGUGUAGCGGUGAAAUGCGUAGAUAUCUGGAGGAACACCGGUGGCGAAGGCGGCAUCCUGGACCAAUUCUGACACUGAGGAGCGAAAGCCAGGGGAGCAAACGGG